AUCUAUAUAGUAUAUUAUUAUAUUUGACUUCCAAUCAGAAGAACUAGAAAACUAGUAUAGAUA
RNAcentral lists this transfer RNA (63 nucleotides) under Dermestes peruvianus. RNAcentral describes it as "tRNA-Gly". It matches the Rfam family "tRNA". From Rfam's summary of the family: Transfer RNA (tRNA) molecules are approximately 80 nucleotides in length. Their secondary structure includes four short double-helical elements and three loops (D, anti-codon, and T loops). The record is from RNAcentral. Lineage: Eukaryota; Metazoa; Arthropoda; Insecta; Coleoptera; Dermestidae.